GAUGAACGCUGGCGGCGUGCUUAACACAUGCAAGUCGAACGGAAAGGCUCCUGCUUGCUGGGGUACUCGAGUGGCGAACGGGUGAGUAACACGUGGGUGAUCUGCCCUGCACUUUGGGAUAACCCUGGGAAACUGGGGCUAAUACCGGAUAGGACGAUGUGUUGGAUGGUAUUGUGUGAAGAGUUUCGGUGGGGGGUGAGGUCGCGGCCUAUCGGCUUGUUGGUGGGGUAAUGGUGUACCAAGGCGUCGACGGGUAGCCGGCCUGAGAGGGUGGACGGCCACAUUGGGACUGAGAUACGGCCCAGACUCCUACGGGAGGCAGCAGUGGGGAAUAUUGCACAAUGGGCGCAAGCCUGAUGCAGCGACGCCGCGUGGGGGAUGACGGCCUUCGGGUUGUAAACUCCUUUCGCUAGGGACGAAGCGCAAGUGACGGUACCUGGAGAAGAAGCACCGGCUAACUACGUG
This 465-nucleotide ribosomal RNA is filed under the name uncultured bacterium. Its description in RNAcentral is "partial 16S ribosomal RNA". It matches the Rfam family "Bacterial small subunit ribosomal RNA", at positions 28 to 507 of the family's 1533-position model. The record is from RNAcentral.